Molecule: transfer-messenger RNA, 355 nt
Filed under: Planctomycetota bacterium
Lineage: Bacteria; Pseudomonadati; Planctomycetota
Rfam family: transfer-messenger RNA
About the family: Bacterial tmRNA, also known as 10Sa RNA or SsrA, is named for its dual tRNA and mRNA-like properties. Its role is to liberate the mRNA from a stalled ribosome.
Source: RNAcentral
GGGGGCGAUUUGGGUUCGACCGGGCAGUGUGACGGUGGAGCCGCGUGCCGAGGAUGUCAGUUGGCCUCGUUAAUCAUCUGGCGACAAUUUUAUAUGCCGAUUACCCAUUGGCUAUGGCUGCCUAAAUAAGGCAACCCGUCCGACCUGAGACGCCUGCUAUCGGGACCCGGACGACACCCAGCAGGCUGGCAGCGUGUGAUGCUCGGCGGCACGUUGUGAGGAGUUAGUUGAGCUGGAAACCGCCGGAGCCUGUUCGUUGGCGGCGGCGGUUUCGAGAUUAAACAACGAACUACGCACGUAGAAACUCUGCCCGACAUGUCACGGGACGCGGGUUCGAUUCCCGCCGCCUCCAUCC